GAUGAACGCUGGCGGCGUGCCUAAUACAUGCAAGUCGAGCGAACAGACGAGGAGCUUGCUCCUCUGACGUUAGCGGCGGACGGGUGAGUAACACGUGGAUAACCUACCUAUAAGACUGGGAUAACUUCGGGAAACCGGAGCUGAUACCGGAUAAUAUAUUGAACCGCAUGGUUCAAUAGUGAAAGACGGUUUUGCUGUCACUUAUAGAUGGAUCCGCGCCGCAUUAGCUAGUUGGUAAGGUAACGGCUUACCAAGGCAACGAUGCGUAGCCGACCUGAGAGGGUGAUCGGACACACUGGAACUGAGACACGGUCCAGACUCCUACGGGAGGCAGCAGUAGGGAAUCUUCCGCAAUGGGCGAAAGCCUGACGGAGCAACGCCGCGUGAGUGAUGAAGGUCUUCGGAUCGUAAAACUCUGUUAUUAGGGAAGAACAAAUGUGUAAGUAACUAUGCACGUCUUGACGGUACCUAAUCAGAAAGCCACGGCUAACUACGUG
This 497-nucleotide ribosomal RNA is filed under the name uncultured bacterium. RNAcentral's name for it is "partial 16S ribosomal RNA". It matches the Rfam family "Bacterial small subunit ribosomal RNA", at positions 28 to 507 of the family's 1533-position model. The record is from RNAcentral.